UGGGGAAUAUUGGACAAUGGGCGCAAGCCUGAUCCAGCAAUGCCGCGUGUGUGAAGAAGGCCUUCGGGUUGUAAAGCACUUUUAUCAGGAGCGAAACGCUGUCGGCUAAUACCCGGCGGAACUGACGGUACCUGAGGAAUAAGCACCGGCUAACUUCGUGCCAGCAGCCGCGGUAAUACGAAGGGUGCAAGCGUUAAUCGGAAUUACUGGGCGUAAAGCGUGCGUAGGCGGUUUCUUAAGUCUGCUGUGAAAUCCCCGGGCUCAACCUGGGAAUGGCAGUGGAUACUGGGAGGCUAGAGUGUGUCAGAGGGUGGUGGAAUUCCCGGUGUAGCGGUGAAAUGCGUAGAGAUCGGGAGGAACAUCAGUGGCGAAGGCGGCCACCUGGGACAACACUGACGCUGAGGCACGAAAGCGUGGGGAGCAAACAGGAUUAGAUACCCUGGUAGUCCACGCCCUAAAGCGAUGCGAACUGGAUGUUGGUCUCAACUCGGAGAUCAGUGUCGAGGCUAACGCGUUAAGUUCGCCGCCUGGGGAGUACGGU
RNAcentral lists this ribosomal RNA (541 nucleotides) under uncultured bacterium. RNAcentral describes it as "partial 16S ribosomal RNA". It matches the Rfam family "Bacterial small subunit ribosomal RNA", at positions 355 to 886 of the family's 1533-position model. The record is from RNAcentral.